GGUAGCGUGGCCGAGCGGUCUAAGGCGCUGGUUUAAGCCACCAGUCUCGAAAGAGGCAUGGGUUCGAAUCCCAUCGCUGCCA
This is a non-coding RNA of Nematostella vectensis (starlet sea anemone), 82 nucleotides long. The record is from Rfam. Lineage: Eukaryota; Metazoa; Cnidaria; Anthozoa; Actiniaria; Edwardsiidae.